This 2757-nucleotide long non-coding RNA is filed under the name Eucalyptus grandis. RNAcentral's name for it is "long non-coding RNA (EGRA_LNC001305)". The record is from RNAcentral. Lineage: Eukaryota; Viridiplantae; Streptophyta; Magnoliopsida; Myrtales; Myrtaceae.
GGGUUUCCGUCCAAGCCAAAGGGAGAGAGAGAGUUGCGAGAGAGAGAGGGUUGCAAGAGAGAAGAGAGUGUGGCCGAGAGAGGAGAAGCCGAGAGGGAGAGGAAGGAGUCGCCGUCCGUCCGCCGUGUUCGCCGCCAUGUGCCGUCGUUUUCUUCGGUCUAGAGGCAAGUGGGAGUCCUCUAGCUUCUUUUGCAUAUUUGUAUGUUGCUUGUAUGUUGAAUUUUUGGGUGUUUAAGUGAGAAAAACCAAGGUAUGGUUGGCUUAUUCUUGAAUCGCAUGACUGUUCUUGCUCGGACCGUGUGAGUCAGAAACUUGUUUGGGCUUGCAUGUGUGUUUAGAGUCAGAUUUUGGCUUUGAUUUAUUCAUGAAAGUUGUAGCUAACAUCUUUUAAUACAACAUACUAAAAUAUCGUGGAAAAUUAUGGAGAUUUAAGGGGUUAAAAUCUCAUCCUACGGAGACCUCAGAUCUGGAACGAUUUCGCUGACCUUGUGGUAGAUUUGUGCUUGUAUGUUGAUUUUUACUAAGAAUCUCUCUUCUAUUUCUUCAUGAAAGUUGUAGGGGACAUCUUAAAAUACAACAUACUAAAAUUUGAAGCAAAAUGAACAAGUAUAACCUAGUAAAUCGACUAGAUCUUGAAGACGGUAAUUCUGGAGAUGUAUUACAGGACACCCGAGAUUUUAUGGACCUAAAUGACGACUAUACUCUGGAUAUUUGACUUAGAUCUCUUCAUGAAAAUUGUAGAAAAUAUCUUAAUGUAGAACAUAUCCAAAUUUAAGAGGAAACGAAGAAGAAUAGGUAGGUCAAAACUCAGUAUUUCAAAGAAGUAUGCACUGGACGAUUCGGUGAUGGAUCCAGAAGCUUCGUGAGACUGUAGAAACUAAUCUAGAAAGAAUCUGGCUUGGAGGUCUUCAUGAAAGAUAUACAAAAAUGUCUUGGCUAUAACUUGGUGAAAUUUCAUAAUUUUCGGAGGUCAUAUGGAUAUUUUAAUCGAAUUAUUUCCGAAACUGUGCAUUCUGCUUCUAUCCGAAUUUACAUACUGUUUUGUGAGAAUUGUACCUUCUUGUGUGGAAUUCGAUUGGGCAUGUAUCUUUCAUGAGAUUGCUAUCUUAUUGACUUGUCUACCACUAGCCUUAAUUUCACGAUUCUUGAGAAUCAUAUGAAUAUUUAAAUAUUUUCUGAAAGUGGUAUUUGCUGGAAUUUUGUAUGGAUUGGAUGAUGAUGUAUUGAUGCAUGCAUGACUAUGAGUUGAGAUGCAUGUAUGAAUUGAAUGCUGCAUAUGAUCUUGUUGGUCAUUAUAUUGUGUGCCAUGAUGAGUUGAGAACUAAAUUGGUGACCAUGGAUAAUGAUGAAUGAGGAAGCCGUUUGUGGCGGAUGAUUAUUCCCCGGGAGUGUCGGGAUGCCCGGUGGUAUACGGUACGUAAUUCCAGGAGAGGCCUGGUGGUAUGUCAGUACAUAAUUCCGGAGGGCAGGGGAAACCAUUUUCAUGGCGAGCCCCGGAGAUUCCCCGGGAGUGUCGGGAUGCCCGGUGGUAUACAGUAUGUAAUUCCAGGGGAGGCCUGGUGGUAUGUCGGUACAUAAUUCCGGAAGCCUUGGAGGUUUGUGCCUAGGGGGAUACCUCGCGAUGCUAGAUGGGAUGCGAGAUGCCUGGCUAGAAGGGUAAAGGCCGGAUGCCCGGUGGCCUAGUGGCAUAAUUCCGGAGGGUCCUCGCGAUGCUAGUUGGGAUGCGAGAUGCCCAGAGCGUGGGGGUUCCGGAUGCCCAGUUGUAUCUUGGAUACAUGCCCGGAUGGUUCUCGCGAUGCCAGGAUUGGGCGCGAGUGAUGAAUGUGGGAUGCAAACAUUGAUCCCGGGAAAGAGAAAUGUGGCGGUCCAAAAUGAAAUUGAAAUUGAAUUAUGCAUGAUGAUAUUUAUGAUAUGAUGAUGAUAUAUGUUAUGACAUGAUGACAUGCAUAUAUGUUGCGAUAUGAUGAUGUCAUGAUGAUGAUGACAUGUGUGAGAUGAUGAUGACACGAUGAUGAUGACAUGUGUGAGAUGAUGAUGACACGAUGAUGAUGACAUGUGUAUGGCAUGAUGGUGUCAUGUAUAUGAUGAUGAUGAUGCUACGAUGAUGAUGACAUGUGUAUGGUAUGAUGGUGUCAUGUAUAUGAUGAUGAUGACAUGUGUGAUAUGAUGAUGUCAUGAUGAUGAUGACAUGUGUGUGAUAUAAUAAUGUCAUGAUGACAAUGGUAUGAAUAUGACAUGAUGAUACACAUGUACGUGUUAUGAUUAUGGUGAUGAUGCAUGAUAGUAUAUGCAUGGCUUCAAGGUAAGUAAUGCCUGCAAUGCAUGUAUGACUUAUAUGAUGCAUUGAGUGGUUAUUGGAUUCCUUUAACUGCUGAGUGGUUGUACUCACCCCUUUUGGGGACCAACAUUUCAGAUUAGUAGAUGGAUCGAGUGAUUGGAUAUGACCGUGAGGAGGAGGAUAGCAAAGGAAGGAGCUUUUAGACGCCGACACUGAUCGAUGGACUUUAACUAUACGACUGUUGGAGGAGAUGUCGGUCAUCUUUUGAAGUAUAGCCAUGUAUAGGAAACUAUGGCAUUUCGAUGUACCGACUAGAAAUGUCCAUCUGCUUUAUGUAAAUAAAAGUGUACGGCUUUAACUUUUAUAAAAUGUUUAGUUGGUGUGCAUCGUUUUCCAAAUAUAGGGAAGGGAGUUUGUUGGAUGUGCUUCUGUAUAUGGAUUGCGCAAGGGACCUAUCAAAAACAAAAAAAUGUAAACCC